UUUCCGUAGGUGAACCUGCGGAAGGAUCAUUAUUGUAUCAACGAGGUGCGAGGGCUGUCGCUGAUCCAAAAGGUUGUGCACGCCCGAGAGCCCACACACACAACCACCUCACCCCUAUGUGCACCACCGCGUGGGUCCCUCUUUGGCUUGUUCGGUGGGCGGCUUACGUUUUCACACAACCUUUAUAUGCAGUGUAGAAUGUAUUUUUUGUUUUUGCGAUCACGCAAUCCAUACAACUUUCAACAACGGAUCUCUUGGCUCUC
This 263-nucleotide unclassified non-coding RNA is filed under the name plant metagenome. Its description in RNAcentral is "partial contains small subunit ribosomal RNA, internal transcribed spacer 1, and 5.8S ribosomal RNA". The record is from RNAcentral.